This 433-nucleotide ribosomal RNA is filed under the name uncultured bacterium. Its description in RNAcentral is "partial 16S ribosomal RNA". It matches the Rfam family "Bacterial small subunit ribosomal RNA", at positions 29 to 507 of the family's 1533-position model. The record is from RNAcentral.
AGCGAACGCUGGCGGCAGGCCUAACACAUGCAAGUCGAACGGAUCCUUCGGGAUUAGUGGCGGACGGGUGAGUAACACGUGGGAACGUGCCCUUUGGUUCGGAACAACUCAGGGAAACUUGAGCUAAUACCGGAUGUGCCCUUCGGGGGAAAGAUUUAUCGCCAUUGGAGCGGCCCGCGUCUGGUUAGCUAGUUGGUGAGGUAACGGCCCACCAAGGCGACGAUCAGUAGCUGGUCUGAGAGGAUGAUCAGCCACACUGGGACUGAGACACGGCCCAGACUCCUACGGGAGGCAGCAGUGGGGAAUCUUGCGCAAUGGGCGAAAGCCUGACGCAGCCAUGCCGCGUGAAUGAUGAAGGUCUUAGGAUUGUAAAAUUCUUUCAGCGGGGACGAUAAUGACGGUACCCGCAGAAGAAGCUCCGGCUAACUUCGUG